This 201-nucleotide long non-coding RNA is filed under the name Homo sapiens (human). RNAcentral's name for it is "HSALNT0173734". Lineage: Eukaryota; Metazoa; Chordata; Mammalia; Primates; Hominidae. The record is from RNAcentral.
UGAAUGAGGUUAGCAGUAGAUCAUUUGGGAAUGCCAGAGAUGAGCCCAAAGAUUGGGCUUUGCCUGGAGGAGGGGACACCGACCUGAAGAGGGCAUGAUUAAACAUUCUCCAAAAGGUCUUGGGAGGUUAGGUAUCUCAAAGACUUUCUACAGCCUGGAGAAAAAUGCCAAGGUUUGCUUCAAAGGAAUGUGAGGAUGGAU